RNAcentral lists this long non-coding RNA (276 nucleotides) under Bos taurus (domestic cattle). RNAcentral's name for it is "long non-coding RNA NONBTAT020099". Lineage: Eukaryota; Metazoa; Chordata; Mammalia; Artiodactyla; Bovidae. The record is from RNAcentral.
UAUAGUAAUUGGGCUUAGAGCUAAUAACCUUGACCACAAAGUUGCAUCUAGCAUUUGGAGUCCUUGAAACAAACCUCUCUGUAUAAUAUCAGCUCUGAGUUUUAUUCUCUAAAGAGGCAGUGUUAUAAAUGGAGAAAAAAACUUGAGUAUGGAACAAUAUUUGGAAUAAGAUGAUCAAAUUCUGGGGAUCAGCACCUUACCUUAGCCAUCCUGCUCAUUUUCUGGCUAAACAAAAGUUUGAAGCCUAAUUCAGCCUUAGAUCCUUACAAUGACCCA